Molecule: ribosomal RNA, 450 nt
Filed under: uncultured bacterium
Lineage: Bacteria
Description: partial 16S ribosomal RNA
Rfam family: Bacterial small subunit ribosomal RNA
Source: RNAcentral
GUGGGGAAUAUUGGACAAUGGGCGAAAGCCUGAUCCAGCCAUGCCGCGUGUGUGAAGAAGGUCUUCGGAUUGUAAAGCACUUUAAGUUGGGAGGAAGGGCAGUAAGUUAAUACCUUGCUGUUUUGACGUUACCAACAGAAUAAGCACCGGCUAACUUCGUGCCAGCAGCCGCGGUAAUACGAAGGGUGCAAGCGUUAAUCGGAAUUACUGGGCGUAAAGCGCGCGUAGGUGGUUUUGUAAGUUGGAGGUGAAAUCCCCGGGCUCAACCUGGGAACUGCCUCCAAAACUGCAUGACUAGAGUACAGUAGAGGGUAGUGGAAUUUCCUGUGUAGCGGUGAAAAGCGUAGAUAUAGGAAGAAACACCAGUGGCGAAGGCGACUACCUGGACUGAUACUGACACUGAGGUGCGAAAGCGUGGGGAGCAAACAGGAUUAGAUACCCCUGUAGUCC